GAUUUCUACCUAUGGCAUGAAGGCUUCAGAAUGAAAUAGGUUUGCUGAUUUUUGUAGUUUUUAGGUUUUUCAUUAUUUUUGUACACUUUUGGUCUUUUCAAUAUGUUCAUAUAGCACAAGUUUAUAAUUGCAUAUAUUAAAUUUGCAUAAAAUGACUUCAAUAUAGUUUGCUUUCAGGGUUUACUGGAGGCUUUUUGCUUUCGAAAACCAGAUUAUGAAAAUCAUGUUUUCUCUGUGGAGACUGGGCAAUGGGCCGGGUUUCAGUUUUGAUAGCCUCCUGUUACAGGUCUCCUUGACAUUCCCUUGGGCUAGUUCUUAUCAUUUGGCUGCUACUUCUUCCAUCAUAAUUAUCUUCUAAGGGUGGUUGGAGAGUUUGAGUCCCUACAGACCAGUACAAACCUUACAUCGGAAAACGCAGAGCUGAGGUGUGACCUUGGUGAGUUUAUCCAGUGACUGAAAUUCUCCCCAGCUGUGAUUUAUGAUCUGUUUAUAUACAGUCUGCCAGACCAUACUGCCAUAAAGCCUUCAAGAUUCCCAGAACCUUGGACUUUGCAUCCUUCUUCGGAUAGGAUUCUAAUUCUAGUGCCCCUACCUCAUUUUAGAAGUAACAGAAGAGAAGACACAGUCAAAUUCAAGCUUCAAAGGGGAGGUGUGGGCAUUAAUAUUGAAAAUAAUUGGACACAUGCUUGGCUAGUCAGAUGGAGUUUUUCCUCUGCCCUAUUUAUUUUGUACCACCAACACCCUAGAUAGAAGUUUCCCUGCAUGGGGAAUGGAGUGAAGAGAAUUCACAGGCGAGUGAGAGAACUGGAUUGUUCAGAAAUAGUAAGCCUGUACAAUUUUAUCAAGAAUUUACAGUCUAAACUGAAUUCUUAAAAGGUAUAAUGCUACUAGAAUCCUACAGCAUGCUCUGUGACCCAUAUUUCCUGCAGAAUGAUAUUUCAGUUAAUUCUACGGAGAAAUGUCUUUUAAAGCUCUUAUAUGAAAUGAUACAGUUCUCAUAUCACAAAUUUAAAUGUUCAAGAAAUGUAAUUUCUCAUCUUAUCCAGAGUUUUAUCUAAAUGUCUAAAAUGUAGAGAAUGCCAGGCCAGAGUAAAGUUGAGGAAUUUAGGAGCAGGGAAUAGGUGAAGAGGAACUGGGAAGAGGCUAAAAUGAAGCAUUUAGGCCUCCUCAUUCCUUUCUAAUCUCAAAGUGUCAGUCCAGAGUUUGUGGCUCCAUACUCCUUAUCUUGGCUGUAAGAUAACUCCUGGACUAGCUUCUCCCAGCUGCAUAUGAAUGUCUAAAUGCUUAGGACUGUGUCAAGAUUGAUGCUUACCCACAUUUUUUCCAAGAAUGGAGGAGUGAUCAACUAAGCAAACAUUUGGUUAAUGAUUAAGCUAAUACCUUGGUAAAUAAAUAUGGUAAAUAAGUAUCUGGAAGAAACAUAGAAAAUGUCCUCCUCACCCAGGAUAAAGGAU
This is a long non-coding RNA of Homo sapiens (human), 1454 nucleotides long. Lineage: Eukaryota; Metazoa; Chordata; Mammalia; Primates; Hominidae. The record is from Ensembl.